AUAUGAUUGACUUGAACCUAAAGAUUAUGUUUCUAAAUCUUAUGCAAGUCCAAAUAAGUUGGAAAAUUGAAGUUUCAUACACAAAGUUUAUUUUAGAAUAACAGUAAAUUAAUUUAUAGAGAAGUAAUGGAUCGAUUAUCGCAUACUUUGUGUACCAUGAACAUUGACAGUUCGUUAUUGCAGCUCAAACACGUAUGUGUCACCUAUUUUGAAGUUGUUUCUCUUUAGCAUAUUGUGACCAACCUGUAGUAAAACAUCAUACGUUACCAUUUGUUGUAAAACUCGUAGAAAUAGUCCAAGUACAAUGCGAACAGUCAUGGAUUCGAACACUUCGUAUAAAUUUGGGUAGAUGUUAUCCACUGAAUCUUGAAGGUACAUGCUAAAAAGUAAAAUAAAAAUGAGCGAAACAAGGAAUUUAAAAUUGUAGAAGCAUGAGUAAAAUGAAAACUUACAAUUUUGCAACCUUCAUUAUGUUUGAAUGUUAGCCUAAAGACAGGAUUUCUUGUAUUGAAUGUCUCUUCUUCAACAACUUCGAAGUCGGAGUGGUAUGUAUCAUAAGUUACUUCUAAUUGUGAAU
This 577-nucleotide long non-coding RNA is filed under the name Olea europaea subsp. europaea. The record is from RNAcentral. Lineage: Eukaryota; Viridiplantae; Streptophyta; Magnoliopsida; Lamiales; Oleaceae.